GCUGUGUGUAGAUCUAGAGAGAGAAAGUUUUCACUGUGUCUAUGAUGGAUAAAAGCUGUCAUUCAUCUGGGGAAGAAUCUUCUGCUAUAAACCCUAAUCUUGAUUCUAGUACUGGGAUCAUCAGUGGCAAAGAUCAAUACCUGAAACAUCUUCAUAAAUUGUCUCAUAAGAUUUCUAAACCUCCGAUUAGAAAACCCUUUGAAUUUGAUCAUCAGCCGCCGGUGAUUUUGGAUGAAUCUCAGCCGUCCAAUCUUCACCACCACCACCACCAGCAACAACAGCAUCAACCGCCCGUCUAUAAUGUCAGCAAGAGCGAUUUCCGAGAUGUUGUUCAGAAACUCACCGGUUCACCGGCUCACGAACGGGUCACUAAUCCGGUUCAACCCGUCAAACCACAAAGCUCUCGUCUACAACGCAUUCGUCCUCCACCGUUGGAACACGUCGGAAACCGUCCGCCUCCCAACGCCGUCGCCGGAGGUGUACUCCCUCAGAACCCUAGCUUCCGUCAAGGUCAUGUUUCCGGCAACUUCUUCAACAAUCAACGUCCACAACAGCAACAUCACCAGCCUCUUUCGCCUCUUCCGCCGUUACCAGCGGUACAUGCCACGGCGGAAUCACCGAUCUCCGCCUACAUGCGUUGCUUUCAGACCAACGGAACCUCCAUUUCUGGACCUUCUCCGCGGUGGAACAGCUUCACUCCUCCUCCACCUCCGCCUCCACCACUAAACACCACCGUACAACCGCGCUCGCCUACAGCGGCGGCGACAGAUAUUCCGGCGCCGUCGUCUCCUCUUCCGUUCGGCUGUCUACAUUCUCCAAAAUCACAGUAUCCUAUGCUAUCUCCUGGAUUUCCAUUCUCUCCGACGAACCAAUUCGGAUUCCAACAACUAACGCCGUUAUCUCCGACUCCUCCGGCGCCAAGCCCUAGAUGGAAAUCCCUCUGAAUCAAGCAAAUUCAUUCGUAGGUAACGACUUGUGGAGUUAAGCACGAACCUUCUGAUAGCUACCGGAGCUCGGAUUGAAGGAAGACAAAAAAAAAUUCCCAUGAAUACCCAUGGGUUUCAUUUCAUGGGGUUAGCAUGAUUGAAGGAAGACAAAAAAAAUUCAUGGGUCAUUGAUAAGUCUCGAUCUACAAGAUUUUUAAGCGUAAACACUAAAUUAUGCGGGUAGGGAUGGAAUUGUAGCCGUUCCAACGACAAAAGAUCAAAAUUCCUAAGAUCGCUGAUAGGUUCCAAUCUUCGGUAUUUAUUGACCUCAAACAUUAGAUUUGCACAAUCAGCAGAUUUUAUUGUAACUUAUUUUAUAGUCAUGUAUAAGAUCAAAAAUCGCCAUCAUAA
Cynara cardunculus var. scolymus (artichoke) is the source of this 1337-nucleotide RNA transcript. It is a transcript of the gene named VQ motif-containing protein 9, with no coding region annotated. The record is from RefSeq and is a predicted model, not a curated record. The transcript is spliced from 3 exons. NCBI's taxonomy places the organism in Eukaryota, Viridiplantae, Streptophyta, Magnoliopsida, Asterales, Asteraceae.